Small nuclear RNA from Anolis carolinensis (green anole), 150 nucleotides. Its record names the gene U2. It matches the Rfam family "U2 spliceosomal RNA". From Rfam's summary of the family: U2 is a small nuclear RNA (snRNA) component of the spliceosome (involved in pre-mRNA splicing). Complementary binding between U2 snRNA (in an area lying towards the 5' end but 3' to hairpin I) and the branchpoint sequence (BPS) of the intron results the bulging out of an unpaired adenosine, on the BPS, which initiates a nucleophilic attack at the intronic 5' splice site, thus starting the first of two transesterification reactions that mediate splicing. Lineage: Eukaryota; Metazoa; Chordata; Lepidosauria; Squamata; Anolidae. The record is from Ensembl.
CUUGCUUCUCGGCCUUUUGGCUAAGAUCAAGUGUAGUGUGUAGUUUCCUUGCACAGUCUGCAUUUUGGGUCAUCAGCUGAUUUUUCGAUCUUGGCUUUAAUUGCAUUUGUUCUGAUGGCUUGCUCCUGAGCUGCAAGGAUCAGGCCUUCU